RNAcentral lists this microRNA precursor (167 nucleotides) under Paramuricea clavata. The record is from RNAcentral. Lineage: Eukaryota; Metazoa; Cnidaria; Anthozoa; Malacalcyonacea; Plexauridae.
GUUUUAUUAUGGUAGCCAGGUAGCCAGCUGUCUUGCAUAUCAAUAAGUUUAAGUAAAUUGAAGCCGUUUUCAUAUACCUGUAUAACACCAAGUAUUUACAAAUUUCAAAUUCAUUUAAACUUAUUAUUAUGCAAAACGGCUGGCUACCUGGCUACCAUAAUAAAUCU